RNAcentral lists this unclassified non-coding RNA (270 nucleotides) under Glomus sp. RNAcentral describes it as "partial contains 5.8S ribosomal RNA and internal transcribed spacer 2". The stretch from base 1 to 71 matches the Rfam family "5.8S ribosomal RNA", at positions 84 to 154 of the family's 154-position model. Lineage: Eukaryota; Fungi; Glomeromycota; Glomeromycetes; Glomerales; Glomeraceae. The record is from RNAcentral.
GUGAAUCAUCGAAUCUUUGAACGCACAUUGCACUCUCUGGUAUUCCGGAGAGUAUGCCUGUUUGAGGGUCAGUUUAAAUAUCAAUCGGCGUGGUUGCUGCCUUUCCUGGUGACGCACCGCAUUUGGGUCGUCUCACCUUAGGUUAAGUGACCUAAAAUUUUGCAUGAUUUUUUUCGAACGUAUUUAAAUGAUUUUACGUACGUUUGCGUUAUCGAAUACUAGGUUUGGUCAUUCUCAUGAUUCGCGCCUAUAAUUUUUCAUCAAAAUGAA